This 327-nucleotide ribosomal RNA is filed under the name uncultured eukaryote. RNAcentral describes it as "partial 18S ribosomal RNA". It matches the Rfam family "Eukaryotic small subunit ribosomal RNA", at positions 1470 to 1796 of the family's 1831-position model. The record is from RNAcentral.
CCCCUAGAUGUUCUGGGCCGCACGCGCGCUACACUGAACAGUUCAACAAGUCUUAACCUUGGCUGAUAGGCCUGGGUAAUCUUUGAACGUGAAUCGUGAUGGGGAUAGAUGAUUGCAAUUAUUCAUCUUCAACGAGGAAUUCCUAGUAAACGCAAGUCAUCAGCUUGCAUUGAUUACGUCCCUGCCCUUUGUACACACCGCCCGUCGCACCUACCGAUUGAAUGGUCCGGUGAAAUCUUCGGAUCUGAGAGAUGUCUGAUUAAUUUCGGACGCCUUUUGGAAAAGUUGCUUAAACCUUACCAUUUAGAGGAAGGUGAANUCGUANCA